This 253-nucleotide ribosomal RNA is filed under the name uncultured bacterium. RNAcentral's name for it is "partial 16S ribosomal RNA". It matches the Rfam family "Bacterial small subunit ribosomal RNA", at positions 524 to 776 of the family's 1533-position model. The record is from RNAcentral.
UACGAGAGGCCCAAACGUUAUUCGGAUUUACUGGGCUUAAAGAGUUCGUAGGCGGUGCAGAAAGUGGGGUGUGAAAGCCCUCGGCUCAACCGAGGAAUUGCGCUCCAAACUCCUGUACUCGAGGAAGCUAGAGGUGAGCAGAACUGAUGGUGGAGCGGUGAAAUGCGUAGAUAUCUGGAGGAACACCGGUGGCGAAGGCGGCAUCCUGGACCGGUAUUGACGCUGAGGCGCGAAAGCCAGGGGAGCAAACGGG